This is a long non-coding RNA of Jatropha curcas, 1088 nucleotides long. RefSeq lists it as uncharacterized. Lineage: Eukaryota; Viridiplantae; Streptophyta; Magnoliopsida; Malpighiales; Euphorbiaceae. The record is from RefSeq and is a predicted model, not a curated record.
AAUAGUAAUUUUGGAAUGCAAGUGAAGUUAAAAAGACUAGAAAGCCCUUGGAGUAUAUGUGUUUUUUUUUAAGAUUGAAGCUCAACGAUCAAGGAAAGUGACAGACACAAAUAUUCUCAGCAUUUAAUGCAUGAGUGUCUCACAGGACAAGUUAUCAACUCACUUUUUCAUUUCGUUUUAUAGUAAUAGUGGUAAUUUUUUUAUAAAUUUGGCCACAUAAAUACAUGGCUGGAAGAGUGCAUUUAGUUUCAGAAAAUAAUGUUGAGAUCCUAAAAAAAUUGGAUGCAAUUACUAGUCUUUUGGCCACAUUGGUGGAAAAGAUAGAUAAAAAUAGUGAGCAAACACAAAUAAAUAGUGCACAAUUUGAAGAGUUGCAGUCUUUUGUUGCUGAUUUGAGGCAAUUUCAGCAAGGAAAGGGUCUGUAUUCUGAGAUUCCUAAAACACCUGCUGGAGAAAAAAGUGGCCAAAAAAAGUAAGGAUGCGCUCAAAGGUAGUGAUCAUCAAGCACUCGCAGCUGAAGUUCUUCCACCAUUAGAGACACUAAUCAUCUAAGUCGUUCCAACUUUUAACCCUAGAGUUCUUCCAACUCUCCAAGUCAUUCCACCAAAAGACGUCUCUAAUGAUUAGCGUCUCCAUUUUCAAUAUAUGAUCCGAUUCAUUCUUGUGUCCCGCAUUCCACUACCCAUAGUUAGCCUGCCAUCCUAGAAACUAGCCAAGAGCUUUGCUCUACUCGCCCUCUUAGGAUCGCUUUGUAGGGUCAGGAUGUCACUUGUUAGUCCUCAUUGGAGUCGACUUCAUCCAAAAACAAUUGAGGCCUUAAUGUGUGCUCAAAGUUGGUGUAGACUUAUGAAAACAAAGAUGGAUUUGCAUCAUUAGCUACAGAUUGUUAUGCCACUAUUUAUGAUGAUGAUGAUGGUGAUUUGGAAUAUUCAGGUAAUAAUAUUUUUAUAUUUAUUGAUUUUAUAAUAUGAGAUUUUUUAGUUAUUUUAUUAAUUUAUUUUUAUCAUAAUUAUGCUGAAGAGUCUACUACUAUUACCCUCGAGUGAGGCAUUACGAUAAUAAGAGCAACUUUGUAUUUAAAGUUUUAA